CUACGGGUGGCUGCAGUGGGGAAUAUUGGACAAUGGGCGAAAGCCUGAUCCAGCCAUGCCGCGUGUGUGAAGAAGGCCUUCGGGUUGUAAAGCACUUUCAGUGGGGAAGAAAGCCUUGGGGCUAAUACCCUCGAGGAAGGACAUCACCCACAGAAGAAGCACCGGCUAACUCCGUGCCAGCAGCCGCGGUAAUACGGAGGGUGCGAGCGUUAAUCGGAAUUACUGGGCGUAAAGCGCGCGUAGGCGGUCUGAUAAGCCGGUUGUGAAAGCCCCGGGCUCAACCUGGGAACGGCAUCCGGAACUGUCAGGCUAGAGUGCAGGAGAGGAAGGUAGAAUUCCCAGUGUAGCGGUGAAAUGCGUAGAGAUCGGGAGGAAUACCAGUGGCGAAGGCGGCCUUCUGGACUGACACUGACGCUGAGGUGCGAAAGCGUGGGUAGCAAACAGGAUUAGAUACCCUAGUAGUC
This 464-nucleotide ribosomal RNA is filed under the name Vreelandella stevensii. RNAcentral describes it as "partial 16S ribosomal RNA". It matches the Rfam family "Bacterial small subunit ribosomal RNA", at positions 339 to 795 of the family's 1533-position model. The record is from RNAcentral. Lineage: Bacteria; Pseudomonadati; Pseudomonadota; Gammaproteobacteria; Oceanospirillales; Halomonadaceae.